This 440-nucleotide ribosomal RNA is filed under the name uncultured bacterium. RNAcentral's name for it is "partial 16S ribosomal RNA". It matches the Rfam family "Bacterial small subunit ribosomal RNA", at positions 338 to 795 of the family's 1533-position model. The record is from RNAcentral.
CCUACGGGAGGCAGCAGUGGGGAAUAUUGCACAAUGGGGGAAACCCUGAUGCAGCGACGCCGCGUGAGUGAAGAAGUAAUUCGUUAUGUAAAGCUCUAUCAGCAGGGAAGAAAAUGACGGUACCAGAGUAAGAAGCCCCGGCUAACUACGUGCCAGCAGCCGCGGUAAUACGGGGGGGGCAAGCGUUAUCCGGAUUUACUGGGUGUAAAGGGGGCGUAGACGGCAGUGCAAGUCUGGAGUGAAAGGCGGGGGCUCAACCCCCGGACUGCUCCGGAAACUGGACGGCUGGAGUGGAGGAGAGGGAAGUGGAAUUCCUAGUGUAGCGGUGAAAUGCGUAGAUAUUAGGAGGAACACCAGUGGCGAAGGCGGCGUACUGGACUGUAACUGACGUUGAGGCUCGAAAGCGUGGGGAGCAAACAGGAUUAGAUACCCUAGUAGUC